RNAcentral lists this long non-coding RNA (1649 nucleotides) under Nicotiana tabacum (common tobacco). Its description in RNAcentral is "long non-coding RNA (NTAB_LNC001343)". The record is from RNAcentral. Lineage: Eukaryota; Viridiplantae; Streptophyta; Magnoliopsida; Solanales; Solanaceae.
GCGCACAUAACCUUCAUUGCAGCAGCAGAUAUCAAUAAUUGUGCCUCUAUCGUUGAACUGUUAUGUAUUUUCUAUUUGUGUUCUUUUUUACAGCAUUUUUCUUGGCUUUUUCGUCCUUGAGGAUUUCACUGCUUGUGUCCAUCCUCAAGGACCCCCUUUUGUUCGAGGAGUAUUUGGAGUUGCUUUAUUAAAAGUGUGCUAAAACUGUCAACCAUGAGUCUGUAACAUCUGCAUAUCUUAUUUUCUUGCACCAUCAUACUUCAUCUUAACAUCGGACCAAGUGAUAUCAAACCAGCUGAAGCUACAAACAUAUUUAUAGUAAAUCAGUUCGAAAAACAUAACUUAGUAAAGAUCUGAGGUCAAAAGGAAACAGUAAUAAGGGAAGAAUAGCCAUAAUAUAAAUGCCUCCAAUUACCAACUAACUCUUGAUUAAGAAUUACUCCCUCCGUUCCAAUUUAUGUGAACCUGUUUGAUUGGGCACGGAGUUUAAGAAUAAAAUGAAGACUUUUGGAAUUUGUGUUCCUAAACAAGUCCAAAUGGGGCCCAGAGUAUUUGUGUGGUUAUAAAAGUUUCUCAUUAAGGGUAGAGUUGUAAUUUAAGCUAAAUUGCUACCAAAUUUAGAAAAGGUUUAUUCUUUUUGGAACGAACUAAAAAGUAAAUAAGUUCACAUAAACUGGACUAGAAAGCUUUGCGUAAGGCAUAAACCGCUCAAACAAUGAGAAAGAACCUCCAUAGACUAAGAAACUAGCUGAUGAAUUUGAGUAGAUACCUCAUUUUGUGGAUGGAGCAUAAAAAACAACAAUUCAUCAUGAUUUCCUAUCCAUUCAGCGAAAAAAGAUUACUGAUUAUAUCUUAGGAGAUUUUAAGCUACACACUUCAUUUGAAAAAAUUGCAAAAGCAGCCAGACAGAAAAUGAUAAAGUAGGUUAUAACCUCGCUUUGUUGUAGUUGUACUGCUGACUUCGUAAUAUAUCAUUUUAGUCACAGCCUUCAAGUGGAAGAUAUUUGCUGUGGCAAAACUUGUAUAUCUUCCUAACAGAAUUGCAAAUCUUUCUCCUGUUCAAUAGCCUUUGGCUACUUGUUUUAACUUUUCUCAUGGCAGUGGACUCUUUGACAGUCAACGAGCAUAUCAUAGAUCUAAAUAUCUAUCAACCCUCCAAUGAAGCCCUCUAGCACUAAAGCUCACAAGUUCUAAAUCUAAAAGAAGGCCAAGCGUUUAAGUUUUAAAUAUGAGAUAUCUUUCAACUAUAUUCUUCCAGAUUUGAAUAGCUUUUGCAUAAUCUCAAGGAAUGGCAAACCUGAUUAGGAAACUUCAAAAUGGUUUCACUUGCAAUAAUUCCAAGUUUCAUGUAACUGCUCGAGGUUCCACUGCUUCCCUCACUUGAUAUCAUUGUCGCCAAGGCAAGGCCAAUUGCAAAAACCUCUUGAGGAUCAAACAAGUUAACAUCGAACACUUUAGCAAUCCCUGCAAGAUUAACACUGACUCAUAUGCUUAACUGGUCUUAUACUUGUAACAUAUGCUUUUCGCUUCUGAUUCUGAAUAAGCCUCAAUUACUUCCUGAUAGUUGGUAACUGUACUCCUAGUUGAUAUGUGGAGUAGUUUUUGGGUUUUGGAUGUAACGUUUCAAGGCGGAAUUAGGAAAGUGGAGA